AUGGCAUCUGAAACCCACAAUGUUAAAAAAUGAAACUUUUGUAAUAAUAUUGAGGAUCAUUCCAUUGAUCUUCCUAGUAAAAAGAUCUCUAAUUUCACUAAAAAGAACAUGAAGGAGGUUAAGAAAUCUCCAAAACAGCUGGUUACUUACAUGAAUAGAACAGUUGGACAAGCUGUGAAAAGCCCAGAUAAACUACGGAAGGUGAUCUAUCACAGAAAGAAAGUUCAUCAUCCCUUUCCAAAUCCUUGUUACAGAAAAAAACAGCCCCCUAGAAGUUGGGGCUGUGACAUGGCAAAUAAAGAAAAUGAACUGGCUUGUGCAGGCCACUUGCCUGAAAAAUUACGCCAUGAUAGUCGAACAUAUUUGCUUAACUCCAGUGAUUCUGGUUCUUCUCAGACAGAAAGCCCAUCAUCAAAAUAUAGUGGGGUUUUUUUCUGAGGUUUCUCAGGACCAUGAAACAAUGGCCCAAGUUUUGUUCAGCAGGAAUUUGAGACUGAACGUAGCUUUAACUUUCUGGAGAAAGAGAAGUAUAAGAGAACUUGUAGCUUAUUUGGUGAGGAUAGAAGAUCUUGGAGUUGUGGUAGAUUGCCUUCCUGUAUUCAUCAAUAGUUAACAGGAAGAAAAACAAUAUAUCUCACUUGGCUGCUCUGUAGACUUGUUGCCUCUAGUAAAGUCACUACUUAAAAGCAAAUUUGAAGAAUAUGUUAUAGUUGGCCUGAACUGGCUUCAAGCAGUCAUAAAAAGGUGGUGGUCAGAACUGUCAUCCAAACCAGAAAUUAUAAAUGAUGGAAAUAUUCAGAUUUUAAAACAACAAUUAAGUGGAUUGUGGGAACAGGAAAACCAUCUUACUUUGGUUCCAGGAUAUACUGGUAAUAUAGCUAAGGAUAUAGAUGCUUAUUUAUUACAGUUGCAUUGAGAGAUUUCAUCUACUAAAGAGCAUUUGAGUAUUCAAAACAUCCCUGUACUAUAUAAUGUACAAAAAAAGGUCUUGUCUAAGAACUGUAAACUGUGGAAGAAAUCAAAACUACUUUUUCUUUUAAAAAGCCACGUAAUGAAACCACUA
Carlito syrichta (Philippine tarsier) is the source of this 1063-nucleotide RNA transcript. It is a transcript of the gene named KATNB1-like protein 1 pseudogene, with no coding region annotated. Lineage: Eukaryota; Metazoa; Chordata; Mammalia; Primates; Tarsiidae. The record is from RefSeq and is a predicted model, not a curated record. The transcript has a single exon.